Long non-coding RNA from Dendrobium catenatum, 2499 nucleotides. RefSeq lists it as uncharacterized. The transcript has 2 exons. The record is from RefSeq and is a predicted model, not a curated record. Lineage: Eukaryota; Viridiplantae; Streptophyta; Magnoliopsida; Asparagales; Orchidaceae.
UUUCUGUAAAUUAUUCUUUUUUUACGUGAUGAUCUUCUUGAUAAGUUCUGUUCUUAGUUUCUUCAUUGUAUAUUAUUUUAAAUUUUUUAUUGCUUGCUGUCAGGUUUUAUUUUUUUCAAGGCUUGUUUGGAUGUAUUACUCCAUUGUUUACUGCUGCAAACCGAAUUAAUAAUGUGAAGCUUCUGUGGAAUUUCAAAAAGUCACUCUUUAUGUUUGUAUUUUCGAAAUAAUAAGUAUCAGUCUUGAUAUAAGCUUUCGUGAGUCAGAUGAACAUAUUCUCUUGUUAGUUUAUUAUCCAAAAUUGAAAGUGCUUACUUGGUGAAUGGCUGAUACAGAAGAAAUGGUCAUUUUUAUACAAGUUGGCAACAUAACGGCUUAGCAAAGGAUGAACUUGUAUAAGAGAAGCUUCAUUAGCUAGAGAGGAGCUGAAUUGUUCUUUUAUAUGUAUUUUUGCACAUCAUCACUUUUGUAAAGCAUAAAAUAACUCAAUAAAUGGGAAUUUCCUUGUUUGAAUUGAUUUAUCAAGCAUGAUGCAUGUAUUUUAAUCUCACAAUGGAGGUUUGUCUAAUUAGGGAAAAAAUUUUCAUGGUUAUAAAUUUUACCGGCUGUUUUUCAUGUUAGGAUGCUUAUUAAACACUGCACAAAAUUUAUUUUGAAGUGAAAUUAUGUGGUUGAGAUUCAAUGGAUGUUUAAGGCUUCGUUUGGGACGGCUUUCUUAUUGCUUCUUAAAGUAGCUUUCUUGUACUAAAAUAAAAAUUUUUGUACUUGAAAGCUGCUUUAUGAAACAGUAAAAAAGCAGCCCCAAAUGAAACCUAAAUCUUGAAAACGUGAAGAAAAGCAGUUUAGAAUGAGUUUUCUUGUCAUUGGAUUUAAUUUGAGAUUAGUGUGAUUCAUGAAUGAUCAAUCAACUCUUAUGUUGCUCUCAUGUCAAAGUAAAUUUAAUAGUCAGAAAAGUCAUCCUAAGUAAAUUUGAGUUAGGAUAUUCUUACUAAAAAAAUUUCUCUAGAAAACAUAGAAAACUCAUCCUUUUUUGGUUUCCUGUUGUUUUCUGUAGAACCAAACCAUUUAUUCACUAUUGAAUUAUUAUUAACCAUUGUCAACCCUUUUCUGUCCACCUCUCCAUCAUUACAAAAUUUGGUAUUGUUUUAUUACUUGUAUUAGACUAAUUAUUUAAGAAUUAUUUUUUUUUUUCUCUUAUCAUAUGGUCUUCAGUUGGUACAUAGCUUGGUUUCCUAUCAUUUCGUUUAAAUAAUUUGACAGAGAGCUGAAAUGUACCAUUUUAUGUUCAAUUUACAUCCAGGUCCAAGCAUCAUGUGCCAACCCUUGGUGCAGACUACAGAACAAUGAGCCUUUAAGUUGUACAUAGAGAAAUAUUAGCGAAAGUGUUAGAGCUUAGUAGUGCCCUCGACUCUUGUGGUGCCUACAGAUGUAUACUGACUGAGCAUGAAACACUUUAGGUAUGCUUGAAUUCCUGCUACUGAGGCUCCCAUCAUAUUUAAGUUCUGUUUACUGUCUCAUAUUUUCUUAAUCAAUUUUUCUGAAGUUUGCAAGAAUUCCUAGAGAAGCAAUUAGGGAGAUCCUGGAAGGGAUUCAUAUGUAAAGGAAGUGUAAUCAUGACUUAUCACCAUGUAUAUACAACUUCAGGAACUGGUUUCCAAAGAAUGUAUUGCAAGGGGUUCUCUUUGAUGUUCCAUAUGAUUUGCUGACUUAGAAGAUCCAAAGUUGUUCAUGAAACUUAGGCUUUGUGAUUGGGACAUCUUUUUAUUGCUUUUAAAUAAGCUUUUUAGCUCAAAUUUUUUUUUUUUCAAAAAAAUUUUGUGCUAAAAAGUUACGUUAUAAAACAAUAAAAAAUGUAUCUUAAACGAGAAAAAUUACAACAUGCUGUUACCAGACGUCAUCCGGAGGUGUUUCAGGACACGGUAGAUCACCAUUUUGUUGUGUACCGAGUGACGUUACGCAUCCUGAUUCACCUUCGAAUGGUCCGGUGACCGCACAUACUAAUUUCUCUUGAAUAAAGAAUAAGCUUUAUUGGUAUGUUGACACAAAGGAAUAUUAGGUGCCUCUUUUUAGAAAAAUGAAACCUGAGAUGCCAAAUAGCAUUGUUCAGCCCUCUUAUGCAAUGUUGAGUGUUUGAAAUUGUUGUUGUGCCUGUCUUGACCUUUUUAGAACUGUCCAUAUUUCAUAGGUUGGUGGUUGUGAUUUCAAUUUUAAUUUUAUUCAAAUUUUAUAGGUCAACUUGGAAAGAAAAACUCUUUUCAUUCAAAUAUCAAAGAGAUUGGUUGAAGACCUGUUAUCAUCAUAUCAAUGGUGAACUUGAUUAGCACCUGUGAGUACACCUGUUUCAGAACCCAUGUGCAAACACAAGCAGGAUUUUGGAAUAUGAUAUAGAAUUUGCUUAAGUAUCUCUUAUUCCGCAAAUUCUUUUUUUGUAAGGUAAUUUGUACAAUUAAUAAAUCCUUAGAAAAUAUUUAUUUGGAAUGAUUAUGGAUUUGUUUAGGA